Hyaena hyaena (striped hyena) is the source of this 451-nucleotide long non-coding RNA. RefSeq lists it as uncharacterized. The record is from RefSeq and is a predicted model, not a curated record. The transcript is spliced from 4 exons. NCBI's taxonomy places the organism in Eukaryota, Metazoa, Chordata, Mammalia, Carnivora, Hyaenidae.
GGAGAAUUCUAGUAGAAGAGAGCAUCAUCAACACCACAGGGCUAAUGAAAACUUCUAGGGAAGUGUAACCCAGGUGGGUUUGAUAUUCAUAAGAUUAAAGCGUAUGUCUACCAUCAAAUGACCACCACAUUAAAGCUGUUUUAAUGAGGACUUGGAAAGAUAAUGAAUGAACGUCGCUAAUUCACCACAGAGGAGACAGGCUGACCUCCUUCCGACCUCUUUGCCGCCAGCAACCUUGCUUUUCCAGAACAUUCCAUUGAGUGCCAGCUGUCAACUCAAACUAAAUUUCCUGUCAUGAUCUUACUUUACCUGAGCCAUUCCGUGUCAUAGAGAUCAACUGUCUCCUGAAUGAACUACUCAAGAACUUAUAAACUACUCAAAAGAGGUCUGAAGCUCCAAGACAUGUCCAUAGUAUACUUUCCCAUUGGGUUUGAGAAAAAGUGGGACUCCU